AUAUCAAUAAGCGGAGGAAAAGAAACCAACAGGGAUUGCCUCAGUAACGGCGAGUGAAGCGGCAACAGCUCAAAUUUGAAAUCUGGCUCUUUUAGGGUCCGAGUUGUAAUUUGUAGAGGAUGCUCCGGCGUCGGCUCCGGUCUAAGUUCCUUGGAACAGGACGUCAUAGAGGGUGAGAAUCCCGUAUGUGAUCGGUUGCCCUUGCCAUGUGAAGCUCCUUCGACGAGUCGAGUUGUUUGGGAAUGCAGCUCUAAAUGGGAGGUAAAUUUCUUCUAAAGCUAAAUACUGGCCAGAGACCGAUAGCGCACAAGUAGAGUGAUCGAAAGAUGAAAAGCACUUUGGAAAGAGAGUCAAAAAGUACGUGAAAUUGUUGAAAGGGAAGCGCUUGCAACCAGACCUGCCUGCAGUUGCUCAUCCGGGCUUUUGCCCGGUGCACUCUUCUGCUGUCAGGCCAGCAUCAGUCCGGGCGGUCGGAUAAAGGCUUCGGGAAUGUAGCUCCUCUCGAGGAGUGUUAUAGCCCGUUGCGAAAUGCGGCCAGCCUGAACUGAGGUCCGCGCUUCGGCUAGGAUGCUGGCGUAAUGGUUGUAAGCGG
Molecule: ribosomal RNA, 592 nt
Filed under: uncultured fungus
Lineage: Eukaryota; Fungi
Description: eukaryotic LSU rRNA
Rfam family: Eukaryotic large subunit ribosomal RNA
Source: RNAcentral